RNAcentral lists this long non-coding RNA (474 nucleotides) under Heterocephalus glaber (naked mole-rat). RNAcentral describes it as "lncRNA (ENSHGLG00000045236.1)". Lineage: Eukaryota; Metazoa; Chordata; Mammalia; Rodentia; Bathyergidae. The record is from RNAcentral.
CUAACCAAGUCAAACAGUUUCAAGUACUCAGUAAAUGUUGGGGUGGAUGUAUAUUCUAACCAAUAUAUCACUUCCUGAAUUUACAUUCUGAGGCCUCGAUCUCUUCCAUGUGGUCGCACAACACCUGCUUUACAACUAAGACAGGAUGGUGGGUUUUUUGUUGCUUACAUCACCUACUGAGUGUUGACAGCAAUGAUGGAACAAGUCAGCAAGUUUUCAGGGUGCUGCUGUGGAGCUGUGGAGAUGGGACCUUUAAAAGAGGAACUUGGCCAAGGUUGUGACAUUAAGGAAUGAAUUAAAGGUUCAGAUCAAGUGACACUUUCAUCUGCCUUACAAAUUACUAGGUUUCCACUUGAAAUGGUUAACACAAAUUGCCCCAUUCUCAUUCAUACCCAGCAAUCGGUGCUGGUCCCUGAACAACUGAACAUGGGCUUCAGUCUUAAAUCUAGAACCUUUGUGGAAAACAAAAAUUGA